UACGUAGGUGGCAAGCGUUGUCCGGAAUUAUUGGGCGUAAAGCGCGCGCAGGUGGUUCCUUAAGUCUGAUGUGAAAGCCCACGGCUCAACCGUGGAAGGUCAUUGGAAACUGGGGAACUUGAGUACAGAAGAGGAAAGUGGAAUUCCAAGUGUAGCGGUGAAAUGCGUAGAUAUUUGGAGGAACACCAGUGGCGAAGGCGGCAUCCUGGACCGGCAUUGACGCUGAGGCGCGAAAGCCAGGGGAGCAAACGGG
This 253-nucleotide ribosomal RNA is filed under the name uncultured bacterium. RNAcentral describes it as "partial 16S ribosomal RNA". It matches the Rfam family "Bacterial small subunit ribosomal RNA", at positions 524 to 776 of the family's 1533-position model. The record is from RNAcentral.